Molecule: transfer RNA, 58 nt
Filed under: Canis lupus familiaris (dog)
Lineage: Eukaryota; Metazoa; Chordata; Mammalia; Carnivora; Canidae
Also listed under: 1 other name
Rfam family: tRNA
About the family: Transfer RNA (tRNA) molecules are approximately 80 nucleotides in length.
Source: Rfam by way of RNAcentral
UGGCUCAGUCGGUGGAGCGUGAGACUCUUGAUCUCGGGGUUGUGAGUUCAAGCCCCAC